GGAAAAUCUCUAAAAUCCUGAAUUAAAAAAAAAAACACAAAUGAAGUGAAAGCUUUUAACUGGUACACACUGUUCACACCUAUAUUUCAAGUUUGGAAACGCAUAUUUUCAAGCAGCAAUACAAAAAAGUAUCCAUGAAGAAUGCAUAAUCUCUGAAAAAAUUAUGAAAACAUCCCUGCUACCAUUACAUUUCUAAAUACAAAACUGACUACCAUAUUGUUGCUUCUGUGUAGCGAGAGAAGUUCAUUUUCGAAACAGAUAAAAUUCAGUCUUUAGGUGUGAAUGGUAUGAAUGACAGUCUCCUUUCUUUUUUUUUUUUAAAUUUCUUAGUUGUUUAGGAUCCUUAAGCAUGCAAGCCUCGGAGAGGAAGGCCCGACGAGGGCAGGGUUGGCUUAUGACAUCCAGUUUAGGACAGAGCUGGGAAAGCCUCUGGGUCAUCUACAUCAGGAGCAGAAGCACUUGACUGGUUGGGCGUGUGGAUCACAUCAAACUCCUUAACCAACUUGUCAGUCCUGCCCCCACGGCUGGCCCUGCCUCCACGCCCUCGGCCACCCCGGCCCCCUCGGCCACCGCGUCCGGGGCGGCCGAGGUCUCCAAAGUUGAUCUCCAGCUGGGAUGUGAUGUCGUUGGCGGGCUUACGGAAGUGAUGAUCCAUUACCGAGUCCUCAGCGUGAGCCUCCUCGCUCUUUGACUUGUGAAGAACAAAUCCUUUUUUCCAUUGCCCAUCAGCACCCUCAUUUGGUUUACGGAUGUUGAACUCAACCUUUGCACGAUCCUUACUUUGAAUAGCUUUCCAUUCGUCCAGGGUCAUUUCCUUAGGACCUUCCUCCUUAACUUCUUCAACCUCAUUUUCCUUGUUUUCAGAAUCAGCAGGCGGAUGUUCCUCUCCCUCUGGCGUUUCCUCAGUUACAGCAGACUGAUCCAAUUCAGUGAGUUCGUCUUUGACAGUUCCCCAGUUGUGUGAUCCACUGCCACCUCGCUUGUCCUCGUGCUUUAGGCCGGAUCUAUCGCUGCCACUAUGUCUGUCAAAUUCACGUUUGCCACGAGAGUCAAACCCAUCUCCUCUGCCCAUCCCACGGCCACGGCCACGGCCUCUUCCAAGUCCACCACGUCCACGCAUCGGUCGGUCCAGGAUGGGUUUAUCAACAGAGAAUUCUCCUCCUUCUCCCUUCUCAUCGGCAGGUUUAUCAAAUCGGCGCUCGCGAGGAGGUCGUCUCUCAGGUCUCCUGUCAAUGGGUUUGCCUUCACCCUGCUGCUGCUGCUGCUGCUGAUCAGGCCUCCUGCCAAUGCGCCUUAUCCCCUCCUUCCGCAGCGGCGCUCCGGGCUGCCCGCCGCCCUCCUCCCGGCGCUCUCCCCCGGCGGAGGCGGCGAAGGGCGGCAGCGGGUUCUUGCGCUCCUUCUGGGACUCCCUGCGCAGCUGCUUGGCCGCGCUGCCCGCUCCGCCGCCCGAGCCCGCCUGGCCCGGACCUCCGCCGCCGGCGCCGCCCGAGGAGUUGCUCUGCGCCCCCGCCGGGCCUCCUCGGGCCCCGCCGCCCCCCUGGGCCCCGAAGCCCUCCUGCAGGUGUCCGGGCAUGAUGGGCCCCCGUCGGCGGGAUCCUGCUCCGAUGCUGCCGGGCCCCCCGCGCCCUGCUCGCUGCCGCACAAGAUGGCCGGCCGCGAAGAGACCCGCUUCUCUUCCGGCGCCGGGCACAUCCGGGCACCUCACCCCGCGCGGGGCGCGCCGGGACUUGGAGGCGGCCGGCGCCCAACGCCGCGCGCGCGCAGGCGGCGAACUACAGCUCCCGGCGUGCCCCGCGCCGCCAUUGUGUGGGGCCGCGGGCGGGCGGGGCGGGGGCCGCCAUGGCCGCGGCGUGGGCGGGAGUGCUGCGAGCGGAGCGCGCGGCUGGGCGCGAAAACAAACCCACCUCCACGCGAAUAAACGCGCAGGCGCUGUGAAACAUUACGCCCUUAAAAUGCCCCGAGCCGCGGAUCUGCGUUAAGGGAUCGACGGGGCCGGCCGUGGCAGCUUGUGCUUGUCUGUACGGCGCUUCGUACCGACGCGCCUAAGCGGAGCCGUUACCCCGCCGCAUCCGCGCCUCCGUGCGUGUGGGGCCGCCUCAGCGCAGAGGCGCCGUGCGGGGCAGCGGGCCGGGAUCUGCCAUGGAGUCACCAUGGAGUCACCUCCAGCUCUGAGGUGCAGUGCUUCCUAGCUGGGAUACCUCCUCCCAGGUUGAAUGCUUCCUUCCAUUACGACUCCUACUCAGAUAUUUACCACAUACGCACCAUUAGAAGACGAUAUCAAGCGGGUCAGGAGACAAGAUGGGAAAUAUUUGCAGUCCUAAUUAGCCCUGUUGAUAGCCAGUGGAAAUUACAAGCGUACUAACAAUUAAAACCUGCUUCACUGGUGCAUAUUUGACAUUUCUUCCCAAAAUACCGCUAAAUACGUCUCAGAACCUCCUGGCACGCGCUGCCAUCGCUACCUUCGUCUGCAGUGAGGAGAUUUCUGAGGCCUGCCCUGCCAGCCGCAGGCCACGUCCAACCAUUGCUUCACAAAGUCAUUUCCAUCCAUGAGUUCUUGAGGCUGACACGUGGGAGCCCCACACACCGUCGGGCUGCGUGCAGCGGGCGCCCCACAGCAGCAGUGCUUUGCGGAGGCCCUUGGGAAGCCCCUCUUGAAGCAGUGGAUCUCCCACAGAGGAACGCACGCGGCUCUCGGGAUAUUUAUAAGGCAGAGCAGCUCUCCUCUGCAGCCCUUCCCUGCCGGGGCUGUAACUCACAGCUGUGCAUGGCCCCCCCGCAGCCGGGAGCUCCAUGCUCUCUGCUGUUGCUCCAUGGGGCUGAAAUGUCCGCCCUCCUGCUGCCCACGCAGCCGCUCUCCGCAUGCCUGCAACACACUGCUCUGCUAUUUCUGAGCAUUGCCAGCAGCUGUCGGCUUAUGAAGCAAGAAGAGGAAACGCAGCAGGCUUGAGGUGUCGGUGUGGGUCCUUGCUCCGCUCCUCAUUUUAACCCAAGAACCCUUAUCAGUGCACGGUGCUGGUUCUGUCCCAGUGUGUGCCACCUCCCUGCCAGAACACACAGCAGACCCACCAGGAGGCGGCUGUUCAGGUGCUUUUUGAGGCCACAUUGGCUUCUUGCACAGAGAACGUGACAUUUGUUUCUGAACAAAGUACAGCCAUGGCUUCGGAGCAGCAAGAGGAGCUCCAUGUGUCACCCCGUCGUGGCAUGCUGCAAAGCAGCCUCAGCAACUUUCUGCUCAGCUUCCUGGCAGCUGUUCUCAGUGGAUUCCCGAUGUGCUGCAUGGAGAGACUGCACUCAGAGCGUGGUGCCCACGGCUGCAAUUAGAUGCAGGGAAUGCAGCAGCAGCCAGAACACAGCGUGCUUUGUGCUGAGCUCUUUGCACUGAGCAUUCCUGGUGCGUGGGCUCCUGAAGGGAAGCAGUCCUGGAGUGGCAGCGGGGCAGCAGCAGUGGGCAGACGUCCUUCAGGGCUCCUGUGUACCCUCUCAUUUCAGCAUGGGUUUUUGCAGAGCAGGAAACCCAGCAGUGCUGUUAACAGGAGGGCUGUAAACACGUGGACAACAGCACUGCUUCCUCACAAGGGGCAUGCAUUGGAAAGCAAAAAAGCGCAGCACUGCUCUGCACAUGGAGAUGUGCAACAGAGAAGUGAAGCAAAGCGUGCAGCCACAGAACUUCAGUGAACCCGGACUAAUUGAGCCCUGCCUGUUCCUCCUUCCCCUGAAUCCCAAGCAACUCGCAAGGUGAGUGCUGCUCCUUCCCAGCAGCAGGGCAGCAGGUAUUUCCAGCUGACAGAGGCAGCGCCAGAGCCUCGGGCAGCAGAGGGUUGGUCCUGAGCUCUGCCCUUACCAAACCCCUGUGCAGCAUCCAGCCAUUCUCUGUGAGCUCUGCUGUGCUCUGUCCUCAGAUGGAAGGAGGAAAAGAGAGCAAAUAAAGCAUUUUCCCCUCACAAGGGCUGGGGGAGUGGGCACAACAGCAGCGCUGUGAAGGCCAGGACGAGCGAAGCGCAUGCAGUGCUGCCAGCAGUGCUGCUCUGUGCCACCACACCCUGUGGAGCUGUAUCUAUGACCCAGCUGGCUGCAAAAGAGCAAACACAUCUCCUUUUAAUUCAUGCAGCCCAUGCCAUGACUUUUCAGCUGGAUCAGCUCUCUGGCUCAGCGUUCCUCCCUGAGACUUUUGGGGCUCUUUGCUCAUUUUCCCCACUGUCAGACCCACGUUCCAAGGCCG
RNAcentral lists this long non-coding RNA (4219 nucleotides) under Gallus gallus (chicken). Lineage: Eukaryota; Metazoa; Chordata; Aves; Galliformes; Phasianidae. The record is from RNAcentral.